UUGCUAUUGUGGAUAAAUAUCAGAGUUUCUGGUUUUUUCAUUACAAGGUGAAAUUACAAGAUGAGGACACAGUCCACCCUGAACAAUCAUAAACGAUAAACUGAAAAAUCAAACAGGCAUUUCCAAACAUUUCUGAACAGGACCUUCCUUGAUAUACACAUGACUGACUCUUAAAUACAUAUAAAAUGAAGAAAGUGGGACUGUCAUGCUGUCAUGUGGAAAAUUCUACUGGCAAAAAAUUGAGUGGUAAAAACUGUGUUUCGAUGGUGAAAAUAGCUUUCAAGUCCAUGAAUGAGGACACAUGUGUACUUUUAUGUAUACCUUUCCAUUUAUCAGAAAUAUAAGAGGGACAGAGAACUUGAGAGAGAAAAUCUUCAGGUGAAGCAAGCAAGCUGAAACUGAGGAAAUUCUUCCUGAAAGAAUGAUUUAUUUCUUCCAAAGAAAUUUGGUUUAUCAAAAUCAAUCAACAAAUGAGUGAACCCAUGGUGUGGUUAUUUACAGCAAAAUUUAAAACCCAACAGAUUUCUCUUUCCCAUCUAGCAUGCUUCUGUCUAACCUCUCAUCAUUAGUUGGAAGGGAGACUUACCUAAUGGGUGAACUUGGGAGAAGGAGCUAAGCAGUGCUUAUGUGUUUCUGAGUCUCCUCUUUGAAAAGAUGUGCCUGCCCACAGUAACAUGAAUUUGGGUCUGCUCUCAGCUCUGUGAAAGAGAAGAGCAGUGUUGUCGCCUACCCAGUGUCACCUGUCACAGCUCCACCAAGAAAAAUGACUAGACAACACUUACAGAAACAUUCUCUUCUUCCUUGACUUCAUAACUAAUGUACAUUGUUCAAAAGCAACGCCCACUCAAAAGAGAGAAAAAGUUGAAAGAAACCAUUUUAGAAACAAACAUAGAAAGUCAGACAAACUGAGGACACAGAGGAAUACCUUCCAAAUGAAAGAACAUGACAAAACCUAAGAAAAAAAAAAACUAACAAAACUAAGAAAAAAAACUAAGAAAAAAAAAACAGAGAGAAGUGAUGAGUUCAAGGUAAAGGUCAUAAAGAUGCUCAGUGAACUUGGGAGGAGAAUGAAUGGAUCCAGUGAUAACAUCUACAAAGAGAUAGAAAAUAUAAAAAAGAACCAAUCAGAGCUGAAGGAUACAAUAACAGAAAUGACAAAUACACUAGGGGGAAUCAACAGCAGAUAAGAAGAUGCAGAAGAACAGAUCAACAAUUUGCAAGACAGGGUAGUAGAAAUCAUCCAAGCUGAAAAACAAAAAGAAAAAAGAACUUUAAAAAUGAGACUAGGUUAAGGGACCUGUGGGACAACAUCCAGUGUAAUAAUACUUGCAUUCAAGGGGUUCCAGAAAAAGAAAAAGAGAAAUGGGCAAAGAACUCAUUUGAAGAAAUAAAAGCUUCAUUUUAAAAAUUCAAAUAUUUGCUUGAUUUAGCUAUUUAUAAAAUGCUCUACAAUCCCUCAGCAAGAUAUUUUAUAAAAAUUGAAACAGAGGUGCUAUUAGUCAAAAAAAAAAAAAAAAAGGAAAAAGAAAAAAGAGUGCCAUAAGUAAGA
Molecule: long non-coding RNA, 1549 nt
Organism: Felis catus (domestic cat)
Lineage: Eukaryota; Metazoa; Chordata; Mammalia; Carnivora; Felidae
Exons: 6
Source: RefSeq, a predicted model, not a curated record